Molecule: ribosomal RNA, 379 nt
Filed under: uncultured bacterium
Lineage: Bacteria
Description: bacterial SSU rRNA
Rfam family: Bacterial small subunit ribosomal RNA
Source: RNAcentral
UAAUACGUAGGGGGCAAGCGUUGUUCGGAAUUACUGGGCGUAAAGGGCGCGUAGGCGGCAUGGCAAGUCAGGAGUGAAAGGCCUGGGCUCAACCGAGGAACUGCUUUUGAGACUGCCAAGCUAGAGUGCGGAAGGGGCAACUGGAAUUCCCAGUGUAGCGGUGAAAUGCGUAGAUAUUGGGAAGAACACCGGAGGCGAAGGCGGGUUGCUGGGCCGACACUGACGCUGAGGCGCGAAAGCCAGGGGAGCAAACGGGAUUAGAUACCCCGGUAGUCCUGGCCCUAAACGAUGGAUACUUGGUGUAUGGGGUUCUUCGAGUCCCCGUGUGCCGGAGCUAACGCGUUAAGUAUCCCGCCUGGGGAGUACGGUCGCAAGGCUG